RNAcentral lists this ribosomal RNA (229 nucleotides) under uncultured bacterium. RNAcentral's name for it is "partial 16S ribosomal RNA". It matches the Rfam family "Bacterial small subunit ribosomal RNA", at positions 568 to 796 of the family's 1533-position model. The record is from RNAcentral.
UGCGCAGGCGGGCUUGUAAGUCAGUGGUGAAAUCUCGCCGCUUAACGGUAAAACUGCCAUUGAUACUGCAAGUCUUGAAUAUGGUUGAGGUAGGCGGAAUGUGUUGUGUAGCGGUGAAAUGCAUAGAUAUGACACAGAACGCCGAUUGCGAAGGCAGCUUACUAAGCCAUUAUUGACGCUGAGGCACGAAAGCGUGGGGAGCGAACAGGAUUAGAUACCCUGGUAGUCC